GUUUACACAAUCUAUUCCUCCCCAUGAUUUUGUACACCUAAGAUCACCUCUCAUUCUCCAAGGAAUAGAGUCCUAGCUUGUUCAACCUCUCCCUUUAGCUCAGGCCCUCGAGUCUUGGCAACGUCCUCGUAAAUCUUUUCUGCAUCCUUUGCAGCUUGACAACAUCUUUCCUAUAACAUGGUGCCCAGAACUGAACACAAUCCUCUAAAUGUGGUCUCACCAAUGUCUUAUAUAACUGCAACAUCUCCUCCCAACUUCUAUACUCAAUACUCUGACUGAUGAAGGCCAACGAACCAAAACGCUUUUUGACCACAUUAUCUGCCUGUGAAUAUAGACAAAAUGCUUUUUUUUUUUGCCGGUAGAUGUCCAUGAGGGGGAGGUCCAGCAUCUGCAGUUCCUUCUUAAGCAUUUUAUCUGCCCGUGAUGCCAUUUUCAAGGAACUAGGCACCUGCACUCCUAGAUCCCAUUCUCAGUGUAGGUCCUGCCCGUGUUAGACUUCCCAAAAUGCAACCGUCACAUUUCUCUGUAUUAAAAUCCAUUAACCAUUCCUCAGCCCACCUGGCCAACUGAUCAAGAUCUUGAUGCAAUUUUUGAUAACCAUCUUCACUAUCUACUAUAUCACCGAUUACAAUGUUAUCUGCAAACUUCCUAAUCAAGCCCUUUAUGUUCUCAUCCAAAUCAUUGAUAUAGAUGGCAAUGGGCCCAGCACCGAACCCUGAGACACACCACUAAUUGCAGGCUUCCAAUCUGAGACGCAACCUUCCACCAUCACCCUCUGGUCCCCUUAAUUUACCCCAACAAUAGAGCAUCCUUGAAUUCUGGCCACUAGUGGAAACAUCAUCCUUUGUCCCCGAGAACCAGAGAAUCGAAGAGAGUCGUCAUCGGCAGAUGCAAGAGCAUAGGGCCGCUGAGAGGAACUAAGGUCUUCCCUUCCGCAUCCUCGAGGUUAGCUGCAGGAGGUGCCCCAGGACACAAGGGCUGAACAGUGGCCAUGCAAGAAGAGGGGCAACUGUUUGCUGGCCGAUCCGGAUCAAAGCGAUAGCUGGAGGCCCUGCAGCAGCCUGUGGAUCGAUUAGAUCGGGCACCACCCCAGGAGACCGAGCUCGCAGACUGGACAUAUGGCCUGCAGCGGCACAGAGCGCUGGAGCAGCAGUGGAAAAUGCUUACAGCUUUGCUCGGCCGGGCCGACCCUGCAACGCCACCAGGACAACGCGACUUUAUGGUCAUCGGGACUUAAAACAACUUGGACUUUGAAAAUGGCACAAAACCUGGCGACUCUUGUAUUUGGUCUCAGUGAACUAUUUCAACUUUGUAUUUUGUACUUAAUCAGAGAUGGUGCUAAUGUAUAGUAAUACUGGAUUGUAUGCAAUAAAAGAGGUCUCACUGUACCUCUGUACAUGUGAUAAUAAAGAACCAUUGAUUUGAACC
Long non-coding RNA from Leucoraja erinaceus (little skate), 1428 nucleotides. RefSeq lists it as uncharacterized. The transcript is spliced from 2 exons. The record is from RefSeq and is a predicted model, not a curated record. Lineage: Eukaryota; Metazoa; Chordata; Chondrichthyes; Rajiformes; Rajidae.